UACGUAGGGUGCAAGCGUUAAUCGGAAUUACUGGGCGUAAAGCGUGCGCAGGCGGUUUUGUAAGUUUGUCGUGAAAGCCCCGGGCUCAACCUGGGAAUUGCAUCUGUGACUGCAUAGCUAGAGUACGGUAGAGGGGGAUGGAAUUCCGCGUGUAGCAGUGAAAUGCGUAGAUAUGCGGAGGAACACCGAUGGCGAAGGCAAUCCCCUGGACCUGUACUGACGCUCAUGCACGAAAGCGUGGGGAGCAAACAGG
This 253-nucleotide ribosomal RNA is filed under the name uncultured bacterium. RNAcentral describes it as "partial 16S ribosomal RNA". It matches the Rfam family "Bacterial small subunit ribosomal RNA", at positions 524 to 776 of the family's 1533-position model. The record is from RNAcentral.